RNAcentral lists this transfer RNA (70 nucleotides) under Limnocentropus hysbald. Its description in RNAcentral is "tRNA-Lys". The record is from RNAcentral. Lineage: Eukaryota; Metazoa; Arthropoda; Insecta; Trichoptera; Limnocentropodidae.
CAUUAAAUAACUUAAGUAAGUAUUGGUCUCUUAAACCAAACAAUAGUAGCCUAACAAUUACUUUUAAUGA